GGAAUCACUGGGCGUAAAGCGUGCGUAGGCGGUUGUGUAAGUCUGAAGUGAAAGUCCAAGGCUCAACCUUGGGAUUGCUUUGGAAACUGCAUGACUUGAGUGCUGGAGAGGCAAGGGGAAUUCCACGUGUAGCGGUGAAAUGCGUAGAUAUGUGGAGGAAUACCAGUGGCGAAGGCGCCUUGCUGGACAGUGACUGACGCUGAGGCACGAAAGCGUGGGGAGCAAACAGGAUUAGAUACCCUGGUAGUCCACGCCGUAAACGAUGAGUGCUAGGUGUUGGGGGGACACACCCCAGUGCCGAAGGAAACCCAAUAAGCACUCCGCCUGGGGAGUACGGUCGCAAGACUGAAACUCAAAGGAAUUGACGGGGGCCCGCACAAGCAGUGGAGCAUGUGGUUUAAUUCGAAGCAACGCGAAGAACCUUACCAGGGCUUGACAUCCCUCUGACCGGUGCAGAGAUGYACCUUCCCUUUGGGGCAGAGGAGACAGGUGGUGCAUGGUUGUCGUCAGCUCGUGUCGUGAGAUGUUGGGUUAAGUCCCGCAACGAGCGCAACCCUUGAUCUGUGUUACCAGCACGUGAUGGUGGGGACUCACAGGUGACUGCCGGCGUAAGUCGGAGGAAGGCGGGGAUGACGUCAAAUCAUCAUGCCCUUUAUGUCCUGGGCUACACACGUGCUACAAUGGGCGGUACAACGGGAAGCGAAGCCGCGAGGUGGAGCCAAACCUAAAAAGCCGUUCGUAGUUCGGAUUGCAGGCUGCAACUCGCCUGCAUGAAGCCGGAAUUGCUAGUAAUCGCGGAUCAGCAUGCCGCGGUGAAUCCGUUCCCGGGCCUUGUACACACCGCCCGUCACACCACGAGAGUCGGCAACACCCGAAGUCGGUGAGGUAACCAUGAUGGAGCCAGCCGCCGAA
Molecule: ribosomal RNA, 912 nt
Filed under: Alicyclobacillus acidoterrestris
Lineage: Bacteria; Bacillati; Bacillota; Bacilli; Caryophanales; Alicyclobacillaceae
Description: bacterial SSU rRNA
Source: RNAcentral